CGUACGUUGGGCAGCUGGGCCUGGCCCGGUGUCUCCGGCAUGCCGACGAAGAGCAUCCGGCCCGGGCCCGAGGUGUGCGGCC
This 82-nucleotide transfer RNA is filed under the name Paractinoplanes abujensis. RNAcentral describes it as "Actinoplanes abujensis tRNA-Arg". Lineage: Bacteria; Bacillati; Actinomycetota; Actinomycetes; Micromonosporales; Micromonosporaceae. The record is from RNAcentral.